GAUGAACGCUGGCGGCGUGCUUAACACAUGCCAGUCGAACGGAAAGGCUCCUGCUUGCAGGGGUACUCGAGUGGCGAACGGGUGAGUAACACGUGGGUGAUCUGCCCUGCACUUCGGGAUAAGCCUGGGAAACUGGGUCUAAUACCGGAUAGGACCACAUUUUGGAUGGUGUGGUGGAAAGUUUUUCGGUGUGGGAUGAGCUCGCGGCCUAUCAGCUUGUUGGGGGGGUAAUGGCCUACCAAGGCGUCGACGGGUAGCCGGCCUGAGAGGGUGUACGGCCACAUUGGGACUGAGAUACGGCCCAGACUCCUACGGGAGGCAGCAGUGGGGAAUAUUGCACAAUGGGCGCAAGCCUGAUGCAGCGACGCCGCGUGGGGGAUGACGGCCUUCGGGUUGUAAACUCCUUUCGCUAGGGACGAAGCGCAAGUGACGGUACCUGGAGAAGAAGCACCGGCUAACUACGUG
Molecule: ribosomal RNA, 465 nt
Filed under: uncultured bacterium
Lineage: Bacteria
Description: partial 16S ribosomal RNA
Rfam family: Bacterial small subunit ribosomal RNA
Source: RNAcentral